AGAGUUUGAUCCUGGCUCAGAACGAACGUUAGCGGCGCGCCUAACACAUGCAAGUCGAGCGAGAAAGGGCUUCGGCCCCGGUACAGCGGCGCACGGGUGAGUAACACGUAGGUAAUCUACCCCCGAAUGGUGGAUAACCCUCCGAAAGGAGGGCUAAUACAGCAUAAGACCACGGCCUCUUCGGAGGCUGAGGCCAAAGCGGGCCUCUUCAUGAAAGCUCGCGUUUGGGGAUGAGCCUGCGGCCCAUCAGCUAGUUGGCGGUGUAACGGACCACCAAGGCUAAGACGGGUAGCUGGUCUGAGAGGAUGAACAGCCACACUGGAACUGAGACACGGUCCAGACUCCUACGGGAGGCAGCAGUGGGGAAUCUUGCGCAAUGGGCGAAAGCCUGACGCAGCGACGCCGCGUGAGUGAUGAAGGCCUUCGGGUUGUAAAGCUCUGUGGGGAGAGACGAAUAAGGGACGGCUAAUACCCGGCUCGAUGACGGUAUCUCCUUAGCAAGCACCGGCUAACUCUGUGCCAGCAGCCGCGGUAAGACAGAGGGUGCAAACGUUGUUCGGAAUUACUGGGCGUAAAGCGCGUGUAGGCGGCAGGGUAUGUCGGAUGUGAAAUCCCGUGGCUCAACCACGGAAGUGCACCCGAAACCACCCAGCUAGAGUCUCGGAGAGGAAGGCGGAAUGCUUGGUGUAGAGGUGAAAUUCGUAGAUAUCAAGCGGAACACCGGUGGCGAAGGCGGCCUUCUGGACGAUGACUGACGCUGAGACGCGAAAGCGUGGGGAGCAAACAGGAUUAGAUACCCU
Molecule: ribosomal RNA, 800 nt
Filed under: uncultured bacterium
Lineage: Bacteria
Description: bacterial SSU rRNA
Rfam family: Bacterial small subunit ribosomal RNA
Source: RNAcentral